Long non-coding RNA from Gasterosteus aculeatus aculeatus (three-spined stickleback), 1096 nucleotides. NCBI's taxonomy places the organism in Eukaryota, Metazoa, Chordata, Actinopteri, Perciformes, Gasterosteidae. The record is from Ensembl.
GAUGCGCGCGGAGCAAAAAUUGAAAUAAAGGCGGCGAGCCGACGUGGAGGAAAGAGCAGCCGGCGGUUGUUGUGAGUCACGUGACGCAGGGAGAGACGUCUGUUCGACUGGUCGUCUAAGACGCGGUAAAGAGGUGACACCCAACCCCCCCCCCCUGAAAGACGGCACCGGCUGAAUUGAAGUGUUGGGUCAUUACUGUCAUUCUUACAUGAGGACAUCAUUGUGUGUCCUCCCGACAGAGCGUCCUUUAUCAAACACAUGAUCUGUGUAGGCCUCAAUUAUCAGCUCCGAAAGGUUCAUCCAUCACACACAACAGCGUAAGACACACACGUAGAACACAGUCAUUGUGGCCGUUUGCACAACGCUAUAAGGACUCUUUCCACCUUGUUUGUUGGUUCCGAUGAAACGAUGGCCAGUAGGUUACGUGUGUUGAAGUAGAGAAAGAACUGCAGGCAAAAAGGGCCGAACGAAACAAGCGUCACACUAAACACAAAAAUCUGUCCCUUGAGCAUCAGAUCGACCGGCUUGGGAGCAGCUUCCAAGAAUCAUCUCUCCCAGAAAACAGCAGACAUAGAAACAUUUCUUUACCAUCAUGUAUGAAGACGUUUCGUGUUUCUUUGACCUUUUUAACCCUCAGAGCCCCACAGACCCAACAGGUCCAACUGAAAUGUUCACAGUGUCUUUAACUAAUAUACUAGUGCCGCCUUAUUUAGACGCUACGACAACCAGAGAAGCGCUUGAAGCUCUUUUUCUCUCCUACAGCACAUUAUUUUCUGAUGGCUUGGUCUUGAAUUCGUCGUGACGUUUCUCCAGCUUUGUUAAAUUGAUCGAAUACCACAUGACCCUCCGUCCCUGCUCGUGUUGCCUCCUGCACUCAAAUGUGAUCCAAGACCUUUCAGCUUUCUGUUCCCGUGUCUCUGUGCUUUUACUGGCCGGUUCCUCUCACCAGACCAGAGGACUAUAAAUACGACCCCUCAAUGCCCACAUCCCCGCCCCGAAAAUAGACCCGCGGCACCUACCCGGCUCCCACACACACCCUGAAGCACCCUGGGGACGACGCGCCGCUGGCUAACCUCAGGGCUCCGGAGAACUGGAC